AGCGAACGCUGGCGGCAGGCCUAACACAUGCAAGUCGAACGCCCCCUUCGGGGGAGUGGCGGACGGGUGAGUAACGCGUGGGAAUGUGCCCUUUGGUACGGAACAACUGAGGGAAACUUCAGCUAAUACCGUACGUGCCCCCUGUCCUUAACGGGAUGGGUGGGAAAGAUUUAUCGCCAUAGGAGCAGCCCGCGUUGGAUUAGGUAGUUGGUGGGGUAAAGGCCUACCAAGCCUACGAUCCAUAGCUGGUCNGAGA
This 256-nucleotide ribosomal RNA is filed under the name uncultured bacterium. RNAcentral's name for it is "partial 16S ribosomal RNA". It matches the Rfam family "Bacterial small subunit ribosomal RNA", at positions 29 to 297 of the family's 1533-position model. The record is from RNAcentral.